AUUGAACGCUGGCGGCAUGCUUUACACAUGCAAGUCGAACGGCAGCACGGGGGCAACCCUGGUGGCGAGUGGCGAACGGGUGAGUAAUGCAUCGGAACGUGCCCUGUCGUGGGGGAUAACACAUCGAAAGAUGUGCUAAUACCGCAUACGACCUGAGGGUGAAAGCGGGGGACCGUAAGGCCUCGCGCGAUAGGAGCGGCCGAUGUCUGAUUAGCUAGUUGGUGGGGUAAAGGCCUACCAAGGGGACGAUCAGUAGCUGGUCUGAGAGGACGACCAGCCAGACUGGGACUGAGACACGGCCCAGACUCCUACGGGAGGCAGCAGUGGGGAAUUUUGGACAAUGGGGGCAACCCUGAUCCAGCCAUGCCGCGUGCGGGAAGAAGGCCUUCGGGUUGUAAACCGCUUUUGGCAGGAACGAAACGGUGCGGGCGAAUACCCUGUGCUAAUGACGAUACCUGCAGAAUAAGCACCGGCUAACUACGUGCCAGCCGCCGCCGUAA
RNAcentral lists this ribosomal RNA (500 nucleotides) under uncultured bacterium. Its description in RNAcentral is "partial 16S ribosomal RNA". It matches the Rfam family "Bacterial small subunit ribosomal RNA", at positions 29 to 523 of the family's 1533-position model. The record is from RNAcentral.